This 253-nucleotide ribosomal RNA is filed under the name uncultured bacterium. Its description in RNAcentral is "partial 16S ribosomal RNA". It matches the Rfam family "Bacterial small subunit ribosomal RNA", at positions 524 to 776 of the family's 1533-position model. The record is from RNAcentral.
UACGUAGGUGGCAAGCGUUGUCCGGAAUUAUUGGGCGUAAAGCGCGCGCAGGCGGUCCUUUAAGUCUGAUGUGAAAUCCCGUGGCUUAACCACAGGCGGUCAUUGGAAACUGGGGGACUUGAGUGCAGAAGAGAAGAGCGGAAUUCCACGUGUAGCGGUGAAAUGCGUAGAGAUGUGGAGGAACACCAGUGGCGAAGGCGGCUCUUUGGUCUGUAACUGACGCUGAGGCGCGAAAGCGUGGGGAGCGAACAGG